CCUUCCUUAGCUCAAAAGCAGAGCACGCGGCCGAUAACCGCGCGAUGUGGGCGCGAUACCCGCAGGAAGGA
RNAcentral lists this transfer RNA (71 nucleotides) under Chthoniobacter flavus. Its description in RNAcentral is "tRNA-Ile". It matches the Rfam family "tRNA". Rfam says of the family: Transfer RNA (tRNA) molecules are approximately 80 nucleotides in length. RNAcentral also lists the same sequence under 1 other name. Lineage: Bacteria; Pseudomonadati; Verrucomicrobiota; Spartobacteria; Chthoniobacterales; Chthoniobacteraceae. The record is from RNAcentral.